UGCUUCCACAUGGUCCAGAUAUGAAGCAUGUAGUUCCCAAAAGAGAAAGAUUUGUGAGGCCUAACUAAAGGUUAUUCCCAGCUAAGCACUUAAUGUGAUGUGUCUAAUGUUUGCCAGCUUAUUACUUAAAUGCUAUACGUAGAUUUGUAUGCUCUGUUACACAUAUAUGAUGCAUACGUACAUUAAGUGUAUGUGGAUGUACAUGGGUGAAUAUAUAUGUAUAGGCAAAUAUAUUGUGCUGACACACAGGCAAAAAUUGUGUAGUUCUCCAUCAGACAUGAAUUUUAUCAAUCCAUUUAGUAAGAACUAUCUACAUUACCGUUUUGAAAAAAAAAAUAUUUUAAAGUACAUAAAUAAUGUGAUACAUAUAUAUAUGUGUAUAAAUAUGGAGAUAUAUAUGUAUGAAUAUUUACAGAUGGCCAUCUCAUCACUUCUAUUAUGUAUCUGUAGGAUUUUCGUGGUUUAAACCCAGCUGGCAACUAAGUACCUCACAGCCACUCUCUAACUCCCCUCUUCACUCUCUGCCUUGGUAGGGUCAGGAAGAGAAUGGAAGAAAGGUUAAAACCUGUGCGUUGAGAUAAGAAUUGUUUAAUAAUUGAAAUAACGUAAAGUAUAUUACUACUAUUACUACUGCUACUGAUAAUUGUAAUGAAAAAGCAUACAACAAAAAGCGAAAGAGGAAUAAAAUGCAAGAAACGCAAGUGUUGCACAAUACAGUUGCUCACCACCCACUGACCAAUGCCCAGUCAGUGUCUGAGUAGUGAAUGACAGUUUCUGGCCAGCUCCCCCCAGGUUAUAUACUGGGCAAUCCUCUCUGUGGUGCAGAAUAUCCCUUUGGCCAGUUUGGGUCAGCUGUCCUUGGCUUGAUCCCUUCCAGCCAUUUGUGCACCUGCUCACCAGCAGAGCCUGGGAAAUUAAAAAAUCAUUAACUUGGGGUAAGCACUGCUUAGCAUCAACUAAAACAUCAGUAUGAUAUCAAUAUUAUUCUCAUACUUAAUCCAAAAUACAUGACUAUAGCAGCUACUAGGAAGAAAAUGAACUCUUCUCACCAAAACCUGGACAAGAAUUAAUCCAUGAAUGUUAAGUGUGUAUGGCCAAGAGAAUUCCUACCAGUGAAUUAUCAACAUCUGAAAGGAACUGAUUUUGUUUCUUCAUGAUUGUGUUAUGCAGGCACCUAACCUGAAUUAAAACUGACAAGUUUGCUUUAAGAAGCUGUAAUCCCCUGAGGGCUUUUCGCUGUAGUUUCUAUUAUGUGGGUAAGGAGAAGCAAGGGUGUUAUUUUGUAGAUAAAGACAGAUCUUACAGAUUAAGUUAGGUAGCUUUCUAGGAUGGUGUUUUUCUUGAGGGCCUACAGUAGGGAGGGUGAAUAAAUGGCAUGUAUCAUAGAAUUUACCCAUUGAUCUUACUGGUCACAGUUCCUUUUUUUUUUUUUUUUUUUUAAGUAUCUGAUGAUCUGAUGGCUUACCACUUUUACAGCAGCAAUAAUAGGAUGUGAGUCCUGGAUCCAAAGACUAUUAAUGCUAGUCACUAGCUUUCAGUAGCCUGACAACAUAGAUAUACCUUGAAUGGGCACAAUUUUUACAGGGCUUUGAAACAGGAGUGUUAAAAUCCUUAGACAUACUUGGAAAGGGAUAACACAUGACUGAUAUCUAGACAACAACAUUUAAUCAUACUGAGGUUUUAUCUCUUAUCUUCAUCGCCUCUAUAGUAAAAAUAAAAACUUGUAAUGAUUUUGUAACUUAAGUCUCUAAGUUUCAGUGGGUAGAACAAAGGGAGAGUAAAUGGGAGAUUGUUAGUCUUUCUCAUGGCCCUUAAGCAAACCACGUAUCUCAACACCUUCUCUGUGAAAUAAAAAACUGUUUAUCUGUACAGAAUACUUUUUUCUCACAAGCCUGCAUUUUAUGGAAAAUGUUCUGACUAGCUGUAGUCUCUGCCUGUGUAUGAACCCCAGUGCUGAAUUGACUCAGAAUUUUGAGUUGCACAGUGGGUCCCAAAUUGGCUGAUAUGAAUGGUAUCUUCUUCUGCUUCAGGGCAGAUUGUUCUAAUGAACCUUUUAUAGGCCCAUCAUCCAAAUAUUGACAGACACACAGGCUCUUUUGCCUGAGGUAGGUUGUUGCUUAUGCCAUCACUCUUGCAAAUAAACAAAAAAGCUUGGCAAAGAUGGGGAGGAGUCUUAAUGUGACACUCAUUUAUAGCUAAGACAAGAACACAGCCUAAUGUUCUCUUUCCAAUUUGAGUCAGUUCCAGCUCAGAUGCAAGAAAAACAUAUCAAAAAGUGUUAAAAAUCUAUAAUGAAUUUAGAUGACAAUCAAAGCCAUCUCAUUCUUUACAAAUUUUAAGAGGCCAGAAUCAUCCCCCACAUCAAUACAUUCUUUUACACUUGCUGUCAUCCUGCCCACUCUAUAUUGCCAACAAUAUGCAGAUUUGUCUCUUCUUUUUGUCCUAGUGAAACUCAUGUUGCUGUUUAGAGCUCCCUUAAGUAUAUGAUUAAUUAGAUAUGCAAUAAUGAUUAUUAAAUAUAGAGUAAAUACUUCAGAAAGAACACAAUCCUGGGAUAAACAAAAUUUGUUAGAGAUUUGUAAGAUGAGUUACUGAAGAAAAUAUCUACUUUCUAAGUGAGGGGAAAUAUAUUUCAAUUAUUGAGCUAGUACUGGAGGAAGAAAUACAUUAUGCUUCCUCCAACUUCUACAAUGUCCCAUUUAACCUGCACAAGAUAUUAUUCUCUUGGGAUAAUUAAGACUGUGAAAUACAGAGACAAAGGAAUGGAGAUAGGAGGAUCUCUUGGCUGACAUGUUCUGAUAGACAAUUUUGUAUCUGCUGCAGAAUUUUGAUCAGGAGAAGCCGUUGAGUUAAAAAUGGUAGUUUUUCCAUCAUAUUUGCUUUGAAAAUGUGAAAGCUAAAAGGAAAUCUUUAUUGAAAAUGGUUAUUUCUUUGUGGAAGAUAAAUUUUCAGAAUAUUCAUAUUGUCCUUACCUAUUUGAAGCAAUUAUAUGCUUAUGCUAUAGGGAAAGUUUGCGGAAAUAGUGGUAUAAUUCUGCAAAAAAUCUUGUAUAUCAAAACAGGGAUACUUAGCAUUUUCCUAGAAUCAGGCCUAUGGACACAGAGGACAUAAUUAGUGAUUUGUAAGAAAUCUAGAGUUUGUGUUUUUUAAUAAUAAACUAAGUUUUCUUGCCUGAAAAAAUUCUGAUAAAUUACUGUGGAUUAGAUAACUCUGUGAACAACUACAGUAUAUUAUUUAAAGAAUGCUUGGUUCAGUUAUUUCAGAAUAUGACUUUUAAAACUGGUAUUAGUAGCACUCUUUAAACAAGUAUGGCAUUUCAGUGGACAGUGUUGCUUUGAAUCCUCAGUUCAGGCAGUGAGUAUGUGGGGUAAUCUCUUCUUUUUACAAAAAGAUCAUGACCUGAGUGGGGUGGAGAGAGUUGCCAAAUUCUAACAACCUUAAAAUCUGAUCCAAAUGUUUUACUAUUCACUGGAAAUUUGUUGUGCGAGGACAAAAUGGGUUUUCAUAGUGUUUAAUGCAUAUAUGUUCACAUUUAUGUGUAUAUAUAUAUAUACACACGCACUUUAUAUAUAUAUAUAUAUAUAUAUAUAUACUUGAGUAAGACCUAGUUGUUCACAGCAGCAGGAAUUUCUACAACCAUUUAGUGCUAAACUGAAGUUUGUGAAAUUUUGCAUAGCUGCAAAAAUACUUAACUGGUCUGGGUCUUUGUACUAGAAAACACUUAGAAAGUCUUCAUCAGCAAAUGCUCUGCAAUGUAGUUGUAUGAAAUCAAAUAGUUACAUGUACAUAUAAAUUAUUUUAGAGCAUUACUUAUGUGUGAGCCUGAUGGGUUUUUUUAUGACUGUGGUGAAGUCUCUGUAGCACUAGGGUUUUUUAUUGCUGACUCUUUUGUUGUUGCUACUUCCUGUACCAUAUCUUUUAUUUUGAAAAGUUAUUAUAUACCUUUAUCUCUCCUUCAGUAUUUAUUUCAUUAAAUACAGCAAGCCUACUCCUUUUAAACGAUUUUGUCUGUUUUGCAUUUGGAUAACAAUGUUAUUUUAAUAUAGUAUGGGAAAACAGGCUUUUGAACUCAUACUUACAUUAUACAUACUUACUCAUACUUACAUUAUGCCAUUAUUUUACCUGGAUUAAUAAAUGGUUUGUUAUGUCUGUGUUGCAAGGGGCACUCCUAAUAUGCAAAAAAUCUGUGGAAUUUUCCAGAUAGAAAUAUAUGCUACUGAUGAUAAAUGUCUAGGAGAGGUAUUGAAAUGAGGUAACAAGGAUAACACACCUCCCCAUUUUGUCCAGAUACCUACUAGUUGCAACCAGUUUGUUUUCUUUCUUUCUACCAGAUGAAAUUUGUGGUAGAAAGUUGGACACCUUGAGUCUGUGGAUGUAUGGUAGGCUAAGUUAAUAUGCACUAUGUUUAGCUCAGGUGUGUAAUUGGCUUCUUGAAGAAUUGCACAAGAUAAGAAAUUUUUCCUUUAAGUCUGGAGAGAAAAGCAUAGUUUUAAAGGAGGGAACAGUAAAUAAUGAUUGCUGCAUACCAUGACCUUUAAUUAUAAUAAUGCAUUUUAAUGUGCAUGUCAUUAUAGCUACAGUUGUUCACCAUGAGGCAGAAUUUUCAUGUAAUCUCUAAAACUAAAAUAUUUCUGUCUCUCCUUUAAUGCUGGGCUUCUGAAGUGUUCUUCAACCUUUUUUUUACAGCUUGAUGUAAAGAACAGAGUUAUUGUCAUAGGCCAUUGCCAAGGGCUGUUUGCUUCCAGCAAUUGCAACUUCAAGCACUGCUGUAAUGGAUGUACCUACACUAUGGCAGGUUAGCCUGGCAUGGUCUGCUUUUAACACAGGCCCCACUCCAAGAAGGCAUUUAAAGGCUGUAAACUUGUAUGGCAUCUGAAAGCCAGAGCAUGUAUGAGGUCCUGGGUGAAGUUUGAAACUCCUGCAUGAUACUCCAGUUAAAAUGUAGUCAUCUUCAGUGGUUAGUCCAGCUGCAGAAUCUUCUAACAUCUGUUUUGAUGGAGCUCAUCGUUACGCAGGGAAACCAGACACGACUGUCCAAGCAGCCUGAUCUGGUUAUGCAAUUAUACUGAUAAGUCUGUUGUCAUCUGUGGUGAAUCCUUCUGGUUUCCAAAAGCACACAUGAAUUUAGCCACAGACAGACACCAUCUAUGAGGAGCAAGGUAGAGUCUGGAUGUACUUUGUCCUCACUCUCCUUUUAAAAGAUGUGACUGCAUCUUAGCAAAAGGUGGAAGGUCACUCCUAAAAUCCAGUGAUCAUCACAUCUGAUACUGAGUUUCUGAGGCAAGUGGAGUCACUGCCUGACUAGUUCCCUGUGCCUCUGUCUGCAGAUUUCCUUGGGGAAAUGGCCAUGGUCAGAAAAUAAGGGAGCAUAUGGCUUUUUCUAAAGCAAGUGGAAUCCUUAGGAAUUGCAGUGCACUUUUAAUGGAGAGUGAUAGAGGCCUAUCGAGAAACUUAUGAAGUAAUCUAUUUUUAAAAAUUGUUAAUAAAAUGUUAAACAGGUGUGCAUCUACUUGAAGCAGGGGUUGAAGACUUUGGGAAUUUACGUGCUAUUAAGAACAGUGUUGGAGAUGUUGUUUUUGGGUUUAUUUCUUUCUUUUUCAACUUAAUAUUUCAAUUUUUUUCCCUCCAUCAUCAUUGAUUAUUUAUAUUAGAGUGGAAUAGACAGAUUUCAGCUGAAUGGGAGCAUUGUGCUGUGUUCCUUGAUGGUUACCUCGGCUCUAAGCAGGAGGGAAGGUGGAAAGGGUAAGAUAGAAGUGUCUCCUCCUCUUUUGAGGAUACCACUAAACUCUACAUGUUGGCUUUUUUAGUACAAAGAAAAUACUCUUUUGCCCAUCUAGUUUAUUUUGCUAAAUGCCAAAGUUAAGAUAAUUAAUCUGGAUUGAGAGUUUAGCCUGUCAGAAAGGAUCCUUUGAUUCCAACUCAUCUCUCCUCAGAGCUUUUCACUGUCUCCCUUGCUUGAAGUUGGAUUUCACUACCUACAUAUGGCAUAAGAAGAAAUUAGACUUUUUUUUUGUUUUAUUUGUUCUAACUGGCAUAUUUUAUUCAAUUUCCAUGGUCAGAUAGAAAGUGUUCAAGCAAUACCAUAUUUUACUGACUGCUGUUUUGUUUACGAAAAUAUCUUUAGAGUCUGCAGUCCAGGGGUUUGACAGCCUUAUUUUAUGGCUUAAUUGUUAGGACUAGGAAGAGACUUGGCAUGAAAUACUGUUUGCUGCUGUCAUAAAUAACUUAUGAAGAGUGAAGCAAAAUCUGGUGAAAGGUUUGUCAGAACCUGGCAGGACAUGCUACUACAAGCAGGGACAUACUAGAUUUUGAGCAAACAACAGGAGUGGGGCAGAAGGCAAAGCCAGCAUUAUAAACACUCUGGAUCAAUGAGAUAUCAGCACAGAAUGAGUCUGCAGCUCCACUAGCAUCCAGUCUGCUUUCACCAUUCCAAUCAUAGCACUGAGGAGAGGAUGGUGACAUGUUCCAGCUUUGCUUUACAAAGCUUUGCCAUCCAACUUACCCAGUGGGUUCCAUCAUUGCUGCUUUCCACUAAAUCCGUGGAAAUAGUUUGUACUGAGAUUUAAAAGUAAAGAUGAUAAAAGAAGUGAACUGAAGGCAGAAUCCACCCCUGCCACCAUCACAUGCAGAUGAUACAAUCUUGAGUCUUGCAUCUCACUUCUUUGGUGUGUGAAGGCAGGCUCAAGUGCUGUGUUGAAGUAUGUAUCUUCUUUUUCUGCCAUGCUCAAGUUUGUGCAAAGGUAACUGGCAUGUCAGUGCUUUUCUCUUCUUGGGAGAUUGAUGCACUACAACAGAACAUAAACCUGUUCUCUUCUCCUGUGCAUGGAAAACUUCAAUGAAAGGUGAACAAAAGGUGUCUGCAAGCAGUUUUGUGACUUUGUAUAUUUUUUCUGCCCACUCACUUACAAAUUAGCCUGUUUUUUUCUCUUUCCCAAUGAAUUUCUGCUUCAUGCAUAGGAGUUUUAGAAAUUACUCUCAAAAAGUCUGCGUUCUUUAUGUUUUACUUUACCAUUUUAUCUGACACCUUGGUUUUACUCUUCCCUACUUUUAGAAAAUAAGCAAACUGAGAAAAAUCAGUUUUCUGACUCUAAAAGUCAAUUUUUUUUGUUGUUUGGAUAAAGCAUGUUUGUUCUAUGAAGAAAAAAAAAGUUAUUUUUUUGCUGCUCUUUUGUAAAGAAGUUGUUAGAGGCCACUGAGAAGCUCUUUAGUACCAAAAAAAAAUUGAUUUUAGUUUAGUGGUUUUAUAAUCAGUAUUUAAUCACUGUUCAACUAUAACAACUAUGGUUUUAUAGAGCACUGUUUUUUCCAGACUUGAAUCUUCUGAUUUUGGGGGUUACCCAUAAUAAAUAGCUAAAUACAUAAUUGUUUGGAAGAGCAUGUUUUUCAUGCCACUGCAGCUGCAUGAAAAGAAAAUCAGUGUUGUGUUUGUCAGAAAAUAUGAAUUCUCUAGUGUUCUCUAACAGUCACAUUCAUCAAAGUCCUUUGUCUAUGAUACCAUCAGUUCUGUGUCUAGUUCUUCCCAUUGGAAGUACAUUUAGCAGCAGGUUUUCAUGUUCAGUCAAAGCUCUUGAAAGUGAAAUUGAUUUCCUGCAGGGCAUUCAUUACAAUGAUGUAACUCCAGGUCAAUUAAAUGGAAGCUGAUGAUGCUACUCCAGAUUUACAUACCUGUAAUGGAGAACACAAUCUGGCUCCAUAUGUGUAUGAAAUCUCAGCUAAUGGAAAGCUGGCAUGGAAGAGACUAAGUUUUGAUGUGACCUUUUAUAAAUUUUCUCAGAGAUUUUUUUUUUUCAAGAAGGUAGAGCACAUGGGUCAAAGUACCAGAAAGUAGUGCUCUUGAUUCCAGAUGGAAUGUGUGUUACUCACAGAUCCAGUUGUCUGUCCUCAAACACUUUUACCUUUGGAGUCUUUCAUCACUCACAUCGAACAACAAGCACCUGUACAUGAAGGAGAUGCAGGACUUUCUCCAACUUGCUUUUAGAGGCAGGACAUCAAUUCAGACAAGAGAGAAAGCUAUCAAGUGCCUCUGCAAUCAAAGAGAUGCUGAGGCUGAAGAGCUGAUCCUCAAAACUAAUCUGUGAUGAAUGGCUUCCUAUUUGGCUACUUUCUACACACUCAACUCCUUCAAAACUAUAUUGUUAUUCAAGAGUUGACAAUCAUGAAUGUUACUCCUAAUUUUUUCUUUCUGGUAUUGAAUUCUUUUCUACAUGCCAAGACAAGUCCUGAGGAAAGAGAGGAAAGAAGCCAAAGGUUUUUCUCCUUUAAUGGCAUUUAUAACAAUAUAUUGAUGAGAUUUUAAAAUAAAUAAAAUUUUUAUUAGUUGUCUUACAGAUAUCUCAUUUGCUAAUCUUUUUUUUCUUGUUGAAUGAACGUCAGUAGUCAAAUGUCUUGCUGAAUGCUUGAUGCACUUUCAAGCUGUGAUUUUGUGUGCUCUUCAUAGCAAUUGCUGGGAAUAAUUAAUUACAUUAGAACCCUGAAUGCUUGUUUUGGAUACUUAUUCAAGCAGCUGGAUUUGUUGGGUGAUGUGAGAGAAGUGAAUAGGUAAAUUUUUUAGUAGAGGAAAGAGGGAAAGAAAAGUAGAUUUCAACUUUAAAACUAUUUAACUAUUUUCUUCUCUUUCGUCUUUUUUUUGUUGCUUGCCUUUUGCUGCUUCAGCUUUUCUGGUGAUUCUCCUCCAUCUGCUUCUGGAGACUCAUGGAAGACCUAUCUUAAAUUUUGGUUUUUAUGAACAAAAUAAUAGAUACAGAUAGUAUUACUUACCAGAAUAUAGGACUGUGAGGAAUUAACUUUAAUUACUGAGUCUAGUCCUCUGUAAAGGGGAACCUAGAUGAUAGACAUUUGCUCCAAGAGGAUAUGCAAGAGUUCAAUUCACAAUGUCCACAGAGUUCUGAUUAAUAACUCUCAGCCUUAUAGAAAACAGCAGUGGGGCAGCUGUAAUAUGCCAUGGAAAACAGUGAGGAACUGGAAUCUUGGUUGAUGUCCUAGAUCCCUACAACAACAAGGGAUUUGCUAGAUGGAUUUCCCAGAUGGUUUCUAGCAGCAUCUUAUUCCCCGCAGAAUGGGGAGUGAAAAAGAACAACUGCCAAUAAUCCCUACCAGUCUGCUUGAGGUUUUGUCUGCCAUAUGUUUCAUCAAAACAUCCUGCUUUGUAUUUCAUCUCUAACAGUGACUGAUUUUGAAUACUUGAAAGAAGCAAUUAAAAAAACAGCAUCCACAUUAGUUAUUGAGGCAGGGAGGAGAUAGUGCUGUAGGUAGGCAUUGAAAGCUGUGAAAUGUUUGUUAUGUUUAUUAAACACAGUCAAAAGGUAGCAAUCAAAAAAUUUAGCAAAAUGCGUGGUAAGGAAUAAGACAUUGAUGGUUACAAAUAUUACAGAAUGGUAUUGCACAAUCAGUAAAAGAUCCUGGAAACUGGUAUUUGAGAACUGUGUAAACAGUCAACAUUUGUGUUUCACUGGGAAAUGAUGAAAGGGUAUAAAAAUAUACAGCCAAAGGUAUAAAUCUGUAACUGAUGUGAGUUUCCAUUUCACCCAUGUAAGUGUGGCAUGGCAUGAAACAUUUUAAUACUGGAUGAAUUCCAUAUGCAUCUCUAGAGUUUUCCCUAAGCUAUUGCUUCUUGGAGCUCACAGUGUUUCUAUGAAAUACUGCAGCUGUUGCUUGGAUCUUGGCGUGGUACAACUGAAUAUUUCCCAUAUAGAUGCUUCGUCUCAUCAGCUGCUUUGGUCAGAUUGUCAUUUUCAGUGUCCCUUCACACCUAUUCUGUCUGUGUACUCCAACUCUUCUCAUUGUGAAUAUGCCUUAAGCUAUCCCCAGAUGUGAUAGGAAAUAAUACAUGCUGUUUUCUUCAUAUACAUGCACACACACACAAUAUAUAUAUACAUAUAUAUUCUCAUAUAUUUUUCUCUUUGUCUGAUGAGAACAGUCAUAUCCAAUGGCUAUGAACCAAAGUAUGGAGUCAUACAGAUGAACCAGGAGCAUACAAAGAGCUCAUGUUGUUAAGGCACCUGCAAUACAAACAUAAACUUUGUCUAGCAGACAAGAGUGUGAUUGUUUUUCAUGUGUGCUUUAAUUAAUAUUGGGAUGAAAUCAAUUAAUAUUGGGGUGUAUCUUGCUUCUGACUCCAUUUUAUAUUUUGGUAGAGGUCAUGGAGUAAUGUGUUUCCUCCUCUUGUGUUUCCCAUGGCAUUUGGGAAUUGUCUGAUUCCACCAGGAAGAUCCCUUGCAGAACUAUUCAGAAUUUCUUCCCUAGAUCUUCUACUAUUGAGCUCCUGGGCUGCCCUCUCAGGAUUAGUAAAAGAAAAACAGGGAAAGGUGAGUUGAUUUCCUUAGAGGUUACCAUGAAUGGCCCCAACAUAGUCUGUCCUCAGUCCACAACGUCAUAGUAUGAGCUCUGUACUGGUGCUCAAAAGGACACAUGGAUAUUCUUUAGGCCAUUUUACUUAAUCAGUGAUAUAUGUUUUUUUUGGAUGCCUCUGAAUGAAUUUAUCCUUGUCUCACUUUGUACAGUUAGUCAUAUGCUCUUAAAAAAUCUUUUGCAGAUGGAGCCCCGUGGGACUGGACCUGUUUCAAAAGCUGUAUUAAAUGACUGAAAUAAAGGUUUUGAAAAUUC
Taeniopygia guttata (zebra finch) is the source of this 10602-nucleotide long non-coding RNA. RefSeq lists it as uncharacterized. Lineage: Eukaryota; Metazoa; Chordata; Aves; Passeriformes; Estrildidae. The record is from RefSeq and is a predicted model, not a curated record.